UGAAUGGUUUAACGAGAGAUAAGCUUUUUUUUUUAUAAAAGUUGAAUUUAAGUUAYCAGUGAAAAAGCUGAUAUGUUUUAAAAAGACGAGAAGACCCUAUAGAGUUUUAUAGUUUAGUUACCUUUUGUUAAUUUUGAGUAUAAGAUAAAAGGUUAUUAGAAYUAUUUUGUUGGGGCGACAUUAAGAUAAAAUUAACUCUUAAUUUUAAAAACUUUAUUUAAAGUAUAAAUUGAUCCUAAAUUUAUAGAUUAAAAGAAAAAAUUACCUUAGGGAUAACAGCGUAAUCUUUUUUGAGAGUUCUAAUCGACAAAAAGGUUUGCGACCUCGAUGUUGGACUAAAAUUUAGAUAAAGUGCAGCAGCUUUAUUUUAGGGUCUGUUCGACCCUUAAAAUUUUACAUGAUCUGAGUUCARACCGGCGUGAG
This 423-nucleotide ribosomal RNA is filed under the name Verruca laevigata. RNAcentral describes it as "partial 16S ribosomal RNA". The stretch from base 54 to 423 matches the Rfam family "Bacterial large subunit ribosomal RNA", at positions 2048 to 2625 of the family's 2925-position model. Lineage: Eukaryota; Metazoa; Arthropoda; Thecostraca; Verrucomorpha; Verrucidae. The record is from RNAcentral.